Molecule: ribosomal RNA, 527 nt
Filed under: uncultured bacterium
Lineage: Bacteria
Description: bacterial SSU rRNA
Rfam family: Bacterial small subunit ribosomal RNA
Source: RNAcentral
UUGACAUCCAGCGAACUUGGCAGAGAUGCCUUGGUGCCUUCGGGAACGCUGAGACAGGUGCUGCAUGGCUGUCGUCAGCUCGUGUUGUGAAAUGUUGGGUUAAGUCCGCAACGAGCGCAACCCUUAUCCUUUGUUGCCAGCGAUUCGGUCGGGAACUCAAAGGAGACUGCCGGUGAUAAACCGGAGGAAGGUGGGGAUGACGUCAAGUCAUCAUGGCCCUUACGAGUAGGGCUACACACGUGCUACAAUGGCGCAUACAAAGAGAAGCGACCUCGCGAGAGCAAGCGGACCUCAUAAAGUGCGUCGUAGUCCGGAUCGGAGUCUGCAACUCGACUCCGUGAAGUCGGAAUCGCUAGUAAUCGUGGAUCAGAAUGCCACGGUGAAUACGUUCCCGGGCCUUGUACACACCGCCCGUCACACCAUGGGAGUGGGUUGCAAAAGAAGUAGGUAGCUUAACCUUCGGGAGGGCGCUUACCACUUUGUGAUUCAUGACUGGGGUGAAGUCGUAACAAGGUAGGCGUAGACGU